UAAGGUAGCGAAAUUCCUUGUCGGGUAAGUUCCGACCCGCACGAAAGGCGUAAUGAUUUGGAUACUGUCUCAGAGAGGGACUCGGUGAAAUAGACUUGUCUGUGAAGAUGCGGACUACCUGCACCAGGACAGAAAGACCCUAUGAAGCUUUACUGUAACUUGAAAUUGAAAUUGGACUUUAUUUGCGCAGUAUAGGUGGGAGGCGUUGAGUUUAUUCUUGCGGGAAUUUAGGAGCCAUCAGUGAGAUACCACUCUGGUAAUGUUAGAUUUCUAACUUUGUAUCAUAAUCUGGUCAAAGGACAGUUUCAGGCGGGCAGUUUGACUGGGGCGGUCGCCUCCCAAAUGGUAACGGAGGCGUACAAAGGUUUCCUCUGAACGUGUAGAAAUCGUAUCUAGAGUGUAAAGGCAUAAGGAAGCUUGACUGUGAGACUUACAAGUCGAGCAGGGACGAAAGUCGGUCUUAGUGAUCUGACGGUGCUGAGUGGAAAGGCCGUCACUCAACGGAUAAAAGUUACUCUAGGGAUAACAGGCUGAUCUCCCCCAAGAGCUCAUAUCGACGGGGAGGUUUGGCACCUCGAUGUCGGCU
RNAcentral lists this ribosomal RNA (586 nucleotides) under Kryptoperidinium foliaceum. RNAcentral describes it as "partial Bacterial large subunit ribosomal RNA". It matches the Rfam family "Bacterial large subunit ribosomal RNA", at positions 1952 to 2537 of the family's 2925-position model. The record is from RNAcentral. Lineage: Eukaryota; Dinophyceae; Peridiniales; Kryptoperidiniaceae.